GAUGAAUGUGCGGAUGAAGUUGAUUAGGUCCGAAAGAAUCCGUGCCGGUUAGAUUGGAUACAAGUUCGUAACAAGGUAACCAGUAGGUGAACCUGCCGCUGGAUCAAUAAUCGGAAUGUUUGGGUUUUUAUAUGUGGGUAACACAUCAUGUUCGAAGGAUCGAUUGGCAUUGAGGACGACGAAGAACGCAGCAGCGUGCGAUAUUGGAAGAGUAUUGCAUUCUCAGUUCCGUGUUCGAAUGGUAGACAUGAUCUAUGACAACCCUUUGGACUUAAGCAUAUCAUUAGAAGGAGGAGAAGAAAACAACAGUGAUUCCGGCAGUAGCAGCGAGCGAAGUUGGAGCAGCCCAGAUGGUAAUGACGCAAUGCCAGUUGUAAGGGGAAGCGGGAAAUAUUCUGAAAUGAGUAUCCACAGAGGGUGAUAGACCUGUAGUGCAGUACCCGAGGUGUAGAGUAGCACUGUUUGGUAGUGCAGUGUGAAGGGGUGGUUGUAGGCACCCAAGGCUAAAUACAAUCAAUGACCGAUAGCGAAUAAGUACUGUGAAGGAAGCUAUCUGCUGUAGCGGCAGAGAGUGAAAUCGAACAUGAGGAAGGCAACAUGUUGCACCCGUCUUGAAACACGGACC
Molecule: ribosomal RNA, 625 nt
Filed under: Episeptum circumscriptum
Lineage: Eukaryota; Fungi; Microsporidia; Gurleyidae
Description: eukaryotic LSU rRNA
Rfam family: Archaeal large subunit ribosomal RNA (bases 131-625)
Source: RNAcentral